Betta splendens (Siamese fighting fish) is the source of this 1594-nucleotide long non-coding RNA. Lineage: Eukaryota; Metazoa; Chordata; Actinopteri; Anabantiformes; Osphronemidae. The record is from Ensembl.
AUGGCUCUAACACAGACACAGGACCAGUCUGCUAAAGGACAGAGGAUCAAUAAGGAAACAGGAGAGCUGAGUGCUUCAGGAGAGUUGUCCAUCUCCGUGGAACUGAAGACAGGGAACGUGGAGGGCUCUUGUAGGAACCCUCAACUACUACAAUUGCUCCGAGAACAACUACAGGAAUUGGGUGUUGAUACUUUCUCGAACUCUGACCACCAAAUCGACCAUGGCUGUUUAGAGCAGAGGGAGGAGCAUCUAGUCAAAGUCCUGCCUCUCUACAUACAGGCCUGUGAGGAUGGUUGCAGACUGGAGGGUUUGGACUUGAGGGGUCUUGCGUCUCGCACUGCUGUUACGAUCAUCCACAACAUCCUCAAGAGAGUGUCAGAAAGGCCCGCAGGUAGCGACACCCCCUCGGUUAGCACACGCCCUGUGCCACUGAUGUUUUCAGGUGGAGGGACUUUUCACCUCCUUUGCCUACUUCUGCUUUUUCAGGUUGCAGUGGGGGGUUUUCAGUUAGUUUUUUUUUUAGUUGUUGUUUUUUUAUUUUUUAAAGGUCAUUCAAGUAGUUUCACAGAACGCAUGAAUGACAAACUGAGCUAAAUUUAUCUGUUGCCAAAAAAACACCAGUACAUUCAUUAAAACCGCUCCCACAGUAAUCUACCCAUUUAUAUUUUGUCUAAUGAUGUUUUUCUGGAGCUUGCAAAAUAGGAACCCUUCUUGGUUUUAGGGAAGUGCAUGUAUGUACUUCUGUUUUUUUGCCUAAACUAAGACGAAGUUUGAGGAUGAGUUCCAACAUGACGCAUGUAGCAGCCACUGUAUGUGCAAGGGUGCAGGGCGUUUCCUGAAUGUACUGUACACAGAUCCUGUUGUAUUCUAAAAUAACAUACUGUAGCAGUAUUACUGUGCCACUGACUCAUUAGAGUCUCGUGUGUUUUCAGAGGGGGCUUGUGAAGAAGUUAUUCAAUUCUUCCAAAGACCAGAUGAGGACACAGGCUGUGAAAUUGGAAAUCCGGGAUGGCUGCUGUUAAAGUCUCUUCUGCUGCUCACAGCUGACAGCUCAGUGAGUUCAUCGUGAAGGGGCCUGAACUCUCCAUGUUUCCUGCUGUAGUCGAUAUAUAAUGGGGAAAUGUGUGUUUGUAGGACAUACUCUCCUGCAUGCACCCAGGUCUCCCUGCUGCGUUGAUGAAGUGUCUGUACCUGCUAGUGUGCCUUCCAACUAAAAAGGACAUCUCCGCUAAAAAUGAGAGCUUCCAGGAGCAUCUGACGCAGGUCACAGUCAACUUGCAUUUUACAUAUUUGUUUACAUUUUCCUUCUGUAUAGUUUUUUGUGCUGCUUUUUGUCGCCUAUUACAAUUCCUGCCCCCUGCUUUUCUCCAGGUCCUGCUUCAGCUCUGCAGGCAGCCGGUCAAUGUGGAGAGGAUGGUGGAGACUCAGGAACUGCAGUGUCUCAUCAUUGGCCUCACGUCGCUGUGGGAUCAGACCAGUGACACCUGGAGGCACCAGGCCUCGCGCGUCCUCAAGGCCGUCUCUGCUGUAGCGACGAGCAACACGGUCGCGAGCUUGCUGGGUGAGUUACAGUACGUUACUGAUGGACAGGAUU